RNAcentral lists this long non-coding RNA (1059 nucleotides) under Marmota monax (woodchuck). The record is from RNAcentral. Lineage: Eukaryota; Metazoa; Chordata; Mammalia; Rodentia; Sciuridae.
GGAAAUCAUUCACUAAAAUGUUUGUUGCAGUGCAUUAGCCGGCUUUUUAGUAAUGGCCAAAAUACCCAACAAGAGCAAGGUAGAAGAGGAGAAGUUUAAUUUUCUCUGGGCCUUAGCUGAGACUAAACAUCAUGACAGCAGGACAUGGUAGAGGUAAGCGGCUCAGCUCCUGAAAGCCAGGAAACAGAGAUAGCAAGGAACUAGGAAUAAAAUAUAUAAUCCCAAGGAAUGCCCCAGUCACCUACUUUCUCCAGUUACACCUCACCUGCCUACAGCUGCAUCCAGUAAUCCAUUCAUAGAAUGGAUCCAUCGAAUGGAUGAAUCCACUGAUUAGUUUAUAGCUCUCAUAAUCUAACCACGAGCUUUUGGGGGGACACCUUAUAUUCAAACCAUAACAGCAGUACAUACUGCUCCUAAUUAGAUGCUACCAUAAAUUAAGAUAAUCGUAUAGUAAUGAAACCUCACUAGAUUAUAGCUUCUCAUAAUCACACGUUAAAUUUUAAUAAUAGUUAUAUAAAAUAAAAUGCACAUUCUUCUGACAUUAUGAUUUUUUUGUUAUUAUUCAUUUGGAUAUGGAAAGUAAUGUCCGUGACACUAGGAAGAAGUCCAAAUUUAAUUUAUAUGUCUGAGUUAGUAACAGAAUACUGCAACAUGUGAGGAAUAUUUUCAGAGAAAUUCCCCUCAUUGCUGCUGCUGAAGAUGUAUUUUGAACUAAGAUAUCCAUUUUACUGCUGAAAUGUGACUUGUAGCUAGCGAUUCCUUUGGUAUGUUGUAACAAAUCUAUAAAAAUUAAAUGGCAUUUUACCCUCUCUUCUUUGAUCCUACAGGAUCCUCAGAUGAUUUCCCACAAAAAUCAUCAGGGAAGUGCUCAGAAAUUUUGCUAGGAUAUGGGUACAGUGGCCCCUGAAAAUGCUUCUGUGGUUAUAAUCUGAACUGUUCCAAAGGCUUGAUAGGGCUGUGUCCAGCUCCCCAGGGAGAGCAACUCCCCAUCUUGCAAUUGCAGGGACGGUGCCUAUGAUAUAGAGAGAGGAAAAGACUAAAACAGAAACGAUUUUAAAA